This 303-nucleotide ribosomal RNA is filed under the name uncultured bacterium. Its description in RNAcentral is "partial 16S ribosomal RNA". It matches the Rfam family "Bacterial small subunit ribosomal RNA", at positions 507 to 807 of the family's 1533-position model. The record is from RNAcentral.
AGCAGUCGCCGCGGUAAUGCGUAGGUGGCAAGCGUUGUCCGGAAUUAUUGGGCGUAAAGGGCUCGCAGGCGGUUUCUUAAGUCUGAUGUGAAAGCCCCCGGCUCAACCGGGGAGGGUCAUUGGAAACUGGGAAACUUGAGUGCAGAAGAGGAGAGUGGAAUUCCACGUGUAGCGGUGAAAUGCGUAGAGAUGUGGAGGAACACCAGUGGCGAAGGCGACUCUCUGGUCUGUAACUGACGCUGAGGAGCGAAAGCGUGGGGAGCGAACAGGAUUAGAUACCCGCGUAGUCCCUGUCUCUUAUAC